RNAcentral lists this ribosomal RNA (485 nucleotides) under uncultured bacterium. RNAcentral describes it as "partial 16S ribosomal RNA". It matches the Rfam family "Bacterial small subunit ribosomal RNA", at positions 30 to 507 of the family's 1533-position model. The record is from RNAcentral.
AUUGAACGCUGGCGGCAGGCUUAACACAUGCAAGUCGAGCGGGGGAAGGUAGCUUGCUACCGGACCUAGCGGCGGACGGGUGAGUAAUGCUUAGGAAUCUGCCUAUUAGUGGGGGACAACAUCUCGAAAGGGAUGCUAAUACCGCAUACGUCCUACGGGAGAAAGCAGGGGAUCUUCGGACCUUGCGCUAAUAGAUGAGCCUAAGUCGGAUUAGCUAGUUGGUGGGGUAAAGGCCUACCAAGGCGACGAUCUGUAGCGGGUCUGAGAGGAUGAUCCGCCACACUGGGACUGAGACACGGCCCAGACUCCUACGGGAGGCAGCAGUGGGGAAUAUUGGACAAUGGGGGGAACCCUGAUCCAGCCAUGCCGCGUGUGUGAAGAAGGCCUUAUGGUUGUAAAGCACUUUAAGCGAGGAGGAGGCUACUUUAGUUAAUACCGAGAGAUAGUGGACGUUACUCGCAGAAUAAGCACCGGCUAACUCUGUG